UACGUAGGGGGCAAGCGUUAUCCGGAUUUACUGGGUGUAAAGGGAGCGUAGACGGUAAUGUAAGUCUGAUGUGAAAGCCCGGGGCUCAACCCCGGGACUGCAUUGGAAACUAUGUAACUAGAGUACCGGAGAGGUAAGCGGAAUUCCUAGUGUAGCGGUGAAAUGCGUAGAUAUUAGGAGGAACACCAGUGGCGAAGGCGGCUUACUGGACUGUAACUGACGUUGAGGCUCGAAAGCGUGGGGAGCAAACAGG
This 253-nucleotide ribosomal RNA is filed under the name uncultured bacterium. RNAcentral's name for it is "partial 16S ribosomal RNA". It matches the Rfam family "Bacterial small subunit ribosomal RNA", at positions 524 to 776 of the family's 1533-position model. The record is from RNAcentral.